GCUGGCGUCACUAGCGCUUUGGUCCCACCUGACCCCAUGCCGAACUCAGAAGUGAAACGCCGUAGCGCCGAUGGUAGUGUGGGGUCUCCCCAUGCGAGAGUAGGGAACUGCCAGGC
RNAcentral lists this ribosomal RNA (116 nucleotides) under Salmonella enterica subsp. enterica serovar Typhimurium. Lineage: Bacteria; Pseudomonadati; Pseudomonadota; Gammaproteobacteria; Enterobacterales; Enterobacteriaceae. The record is from RNAcentral.